Molecule: ribosomal RNA, 2747 nt
Filed under: Shigella sonnei
Lineage: Bacteria; Pseudomonadati; Pseudomonadota; Gammaproteobacteria; Enterobacterales; Enterobacteriaceae
Description: bacterial LSU rRNA
Rfam family: Bacterial large subunit ribosomal RNA
Source: RNAcentral
GUAAUGAGGCAGAGCGGGGGAAUUGAAACAUCUAAGUACCCCGAGGAAAAGAAAUCAACCGAGAUUCCCCCAGUAGCGGCGAGCGAACGGGGAGGAGCCCAGAGCCUGAAUCAGUGUGUGUGUUAGUGGAAGCGUCUGGAAAGGCGCGCGAUACAGGGUGACAGCCCCGUACACAAAAAUACACAUAUUGUGAGCUCGAUGAGUAGGGCGGGACACGUGGUAUCCUGUCUGAAUAUGGGGGGACCAUCCUCCAAGGCUAAAUACUCCUGACUGACCGAUAGUGAACCAGUACCGUGAGGGAAAGGCGAAAAGAACCCCGGCGAGGGGAGUGAAAAAGAACCUGAAACCGUGUACGUACAAGCAGUGGGAGCACGCUUAGGCGUGUGACUGCGUACCUUUUGUAUAAUGGGUCAGCGACUUAUAUUCUGUAGCAAGGUUAACCGAAUAGGGGAGCCGAAGGGAAACCGAGUCUUAACUGGGCGUUAAGUUGCAGGGUAUAGACCCGAAACCCGGUGAUCUAGCCAUGGGCAGGUUGAAGGUUGGGUAACACUAACUGGAGGACCGAACCGACUAAUGUUGAAAAAUUAGCGGAUGACUUGUGGCUGGGGGUGAAAGGCCAAUCAAACCGGGAGAUAGCUGGUUCUCCCCGAAAGCUAUUUAGGUAGCGCCUCGUGAAUUCAUCUCCGGGGGUAGAGCACUGUUUCGGCAAGGGGGUCAUCCCGACUUACCAACCCGAUGCAAACUGCGAAUACCGGAGAAUGUUAUCACGGGAGACACACGGCGGGUGCUAACGUCCGUCGUGAAGAGGGAAACAACCCAGACCGCCAGCUAAGGUCCCAAAGUCAUGGUUAAGUGGGAAACGAUGUGGGAAGGCCCAGACAGCCAGGAUGUUGGCUUAGAAGCAGCCAUCAUUUAAAGAAAGCGUAAUAGCUCACUGGUCGAGUCGGCCUGCGCGGAAGAUGUAACGGGGCUAAACCAUGCACCGAAGCUGCGGCAGCGACGCUUAUGCGUUGUUGGGUAGGGGAGCGUUCUGUAAGCCUGCGAAGGUGUGCUGUGAGGCAUGCUGGAGGUAUCAGAAGUGCGAAUGCUGACAUAAGUAACGAUAAAGCGGGUGAAAAGCCCGCUCGCCGGAAGACCAAGGGUUCCUGUCCAACGUUAAUCGGGGCAGGGUGAGUCGACCCCUAAGGCGAGGCCGAAAGGCGUAGUCGAUGGGAAACAGGUUAAUAUUCCUGUACUUGGUGUUACUGCGAAGGGGGGACGGAGAAGGCUAUGUUGGCCGGGCGACGGUUGUCCCGGUUUAAGCGUGUAGGCUGGUUUUCCAGGCAAAUCCGGAAAAUCAAGGCUGAGGCGUGAUGACGAGGCACUACGGUGCUGAAGCAACAAAUGCCCUGCUUCCAGGAAAAGCCUCUAAGCAUCAGGUAACAUCAAAUCGUACCCCAAACCGACACAGGUGGUCAGGUAGAGAAUACCAAGGCGCUUGAGAGAACUCGGGUGAAGGAACUAGGCAAAAUGGUGCCGUAACUUCGGGAGAAGGCACGCUGAUAUGUAGGUGAAGUCCCUUGCGGAUGGAGCUGAAAUCAGUCGAAGAUACCAGCUGGCUGCAACUGUUUAUUAAAAACACAGCACUGUGCAAACACGAAAGUGGACGUAUACGGUGUGACGCCUGCCCGGUGCCGGAAGGUUAAUUGAUGGGGUCAGCGCAAGCGAAGCUCUUGAUCGAAGCCCCGGUAAACGGCGGCCGUAACUAUAACGGUCCUAAGGUAGCGAAAUUCCUUGUCGGGUAAGUUCCGACCUGCACGAAUGGCGUAAUGAUGGCCAGGCUGUCUCCACCCGAGACUCAGUGAAAUUGAACUCGCUGUGAAGAUGCAGUGUACCCGCGGCAAGACGGAAAGACCCCGUGAACCUUUACUAUAGCUUGACACUGAACAUUGAGCCUUGAUGUGUAGGAUAGGUGGGAGGCUUUGAAGUGUGGACGCCAGUCUGCAUGGAGCCGGCCUUGAAAUACCACCCUUUAAUGUUUGAUGUUCUAACGUGGACCCGUGAUCCGGGUUGCGGACAGUGUCUGGUGGGUAGUUUGACUGGGGCGGUCUCCUCCUAAAGAGUAACGGAGGAGCACGAAGGUUGGCUAAUCCUGGUCGGACAUCAGGAGGUUAGUGCAAUGGCAUAAGCCAGCUUGACUGCGAGCGUGACGGCGCGAGCAGGUGCGAAAGCAGGUCAUAGUGAUCCGGUGGUUCUGAAUGGAAGGGCCAUCGCUCAACGGAUAAAAGGUACUCCGGGGAUAACAGGCUGAUACCGCCCAAGAGUUCAUAUCGACGGCGGUGUUUGGCACCUCGAUGUCGGCUCAUCACAUCCUGGGGCUGAAGUAGGUCCCAAGGGUAUGGCUGUUCGCCAUUUAAAGUGGUACGCGAGCUGGGUUUAGAACGUCGUGAGACAGUUCGGUCCCUAUCUGCCGUGGGCGCUGGAGAACUGAGGGGGGCUGCUCCUAGUACGAGAGGACCGGAGUGGACGCAUCACUGGUGUUCGGGUUGUCAUGCCAAUGGCACUGCCCGGUAGCUAAAUGCGGAAGAGAUAAGUGCUGAAAGCAUCUAAGCACGAAACUUGCCCCGAGAUGAGUUCUCCCUGACCCUUUAAGGGUCCUGAAGGAACGUUGAAGACGACGACGUUGAUAGGCCGGGUGUGUAAGCGCAGCGAUGCGUUGAGCUAACCGGUACUAAUGAACCGUGAGGCUUAACCUUACAACGCCGAAG